GACGAACGCUGGCGGCGUGCUUAACACAUGCAAGUCGAACGGAAAGGCCCUGCUUUUGUGGGGUGCUCGAGUGGCGAACGGGUGAGUAACACGUGAGUAACCUGCCCUUGACUUUGGGAUAACUUCAGGAAACUGGGGCUAAUACCGGAUAGGAGCUCCUGCUGCAUGGUGGGGGUUGGAAAGUUUCGGCGGUUGGGGAUGGACUCGCGGCUUAUCAGCCUGUUGGUGGGGUAGUGGCUUACCAAGGCUUUGACGGGUAGCCGGCCUGAGAGGGUGACCGGCCACAUUGGGACUGAGAUACGGCCCAGACUCCUACGGGAGGCAGCAGUGGGGAAUAUUGCACAAUGGGCGGAAGCCUGAUGCAGCAACGCCGCGUGCGGGAUGACUGCCUUCGGGUUGUAAACCGCUUUCGCCUGUGACGAAGCGUGAGUGACGGUAAUGGGUAAAGAAGCACCGGCUAACUACGUG
This 468-nucleotide ribosomal RNA is filed under the name uncultured bacterium. RNAcentral describes it as "partial 16S ribosomal RNA". It matches the Rfam family "Bacterial small subunit ribosomal RNA", at positions 28 to 507 of the family's 1533-position model. The record is from RNAcentral.